UAUCCCCUGCUGUGUUUGUGAUUGGGACAUAAUUUUUGAUCCAACACUUUAAGAAAGGGAGCUUUUCCUUGCUGUCGGAAGGCAGGCCUCGGGUAGCAUAAUGAGAGGAAGUCUGAAGCAGUAACAAAGUGUCCACCUAAAACAUUUAGGUUCAAAAAAGACGUUUCACACGGCACAGCGGGGUAUUU
Molecule: non-coding RNA, 188 nt
Filed under: Deltaproteobacteria bacterium
Lineage: Bacteria; Pseudomonadati; Myxococcota; Myxococcia
Description: 6S RNA
Rfam family: 6S / SsrS RNA
About the family: E. coli 6S RNA was the first non coding RNA to be sequenced, but its function was unknown until recently. It consists of 184 nucleotides that fold into an extended hairpin structure with a large single-stranded internal bulge.
Source: RNAcentral